UGACGCUGGCGGCAGGCCUACCAUGCAAGUCGAGCGGAUAGAGGUAGCUUGCUCUGAUCUUAGCGGCGGACGGGUGAGUAAUGCUUAGGAAUCUGCCUAUUAGUGGGGGACAACAUUUCGAAAGGAACGCUAAUACCGCAUACGUCCUACGGGAGAAAGCAGGGGAUCUUCGGGCCUUGCGCUAUUAGAUGAGCCUAAGUCGGAUUAACCUAGUUGGGGGGGUAARGGCCUACGGAGGGG
This 240-nucleotide ribosomal RNA is filed under the name Acinetobacter sp. bnj_dkc_33. Its description in RNAcentral is "partial 16S ribosomal RNA". It matches the Rfam family "Bacterial small subunit ribosomal RNA", at positions 32 to 275 of the family's 1533-position model. The record is from RNAcentral. Lineage: Bacteria; Pseudomonadati; Pseudomonadota; Gammaproteobacteria; Moraxellales; Moraxellaceae.